AAAUCCCUUCUUUUCGUUGUCGACGUUUAGCAUUGUAUAUUGGUAAGUUCUAUGUGUUGAUCUUCUUCUAUGACAGAGGUUUGAGGCAGGCCACAAUGUUCAGGUUGCUAAGUUCUCGAUUAUUCAUGUGAUCUUUCUUACCUUACUUCCACAUUCUACAUCAUCCGGAUACAUCUUCGUACCUGAGUUCCUACCGCGCCGGUUCAAACGCAGAGGUAAACCCAUUGUGCCUACUGCCGACGGACGUAAAGUUCUUCUCGUCGUCGAGCAGAAGACAAGCUGUCCAACGGGCGCAUAGACGUGGCACCG
RNAcentral lists this ribosomal RNA (309 nucleotides) under Triticum aestivum (bread wheat). RNAcentral describes it as "partial small subunit ribosomal RNA". Lineage: Eukaryota; Viridiplantae; Streptophyta; Magnoliopsida; Poales; Poaceae. The record is from RNAcentral.